AUUAUUGGGAAUCUGGUACUCGCCCUGGUGCCGGAUUUUGUGAAUCCGCAACCUUCUCCGAUACCGACGGUUAUUGAUCCAGUACUGAUUGUUGGGAUUCCGGAACGGAAGCGUCGAAUCGGGUUUUUAACAUAAAAUCGUCUGCUCUGCAGAAGUUGAUACAAUCAUAAAAUAGAGAAAACAUACAAACAAAAAAUGGGUAAAAUAUGAUUCAUUAUAUAAGAGAAGAUUACACAUGACUCCUUUUUUGUAACAGAGUAGGUACAAUUCGAGUCCUCUUUUUAAAUCUCUCCUACUCUUCUCUCGUCUUCUAUAAUCUUAGAAGACAUCUCUCUCAUCCUGUACACCCAUGCGCAAGGUAUAUCAAUGACCCACGGCUACGAAGCCGCUCACGUCCUCUUGCACCCAUGCACGAGGUGCAUCCAAAAAUCAUGACCACCUUGGUCAUGCCAUAUAGGUGUGGCUAAUCUGUAAUAACACCACCAAAAUAAUAGUACCUAUGCUAUUUUUAUAGCUUACAUCAAAAGCUAACCAAAUUUUAAUCCAACUAGAUUUCUACUUUAAUUAAUAUUUAAAUCUUAAUUUAUCUUCAACAGAUUUAAAUAUUAAUCCUAAUCCAAUUAGAAUUCAACUACAAAUCUAACCAAAUCCUAACACUGGGUUAGUAGAACUCUCGCCCCGAUCUGCCCCAAAUCGGAUAGCAAACGGGAAGAAAUAAACAGAUUCGGAACCGAAAACGGGGUAAUUUUUAUAAUCCGAGACGGAUUUGGGGUAGGAAAUGGAAAAAUUUUUGACUCGCUCCGAAGUCGCCUCGAAUCUGCCACGCUAUGAUCCGCCCCGAAUCCGCCCCAAAAACUGUUUAUAUUUUAAAAAAUUAUCCCUAAAAAAUGAUAUAUUUUAAAAAGUCCAAAAUACAAAUAAGUUGGUGCUCUCAUUUCUCAUAUAUUUGAAACUUUUGAAUUUUACUUUGAAUUGCGAUUGAUAUUUUUAUUUUUAUAAUUAAU
RNAcentral lists this long non-coding RNA (1004 nucleotides) under Ananas comosus (pineapple). Its description in RNAcentral is "long non-coding RNA (ACOM_LNC032706)". The record is from RNAcentral. Lineage: Eukaryota; Viridiplantae; Streptophyta; Magnoliopsida; Poales; Bromeliaceae.